This 58-nucleotide transfer RNA is filed under the name Apaloderma vittatum (bar-tailed trogon). It matches the Rfam family "tRNA", at positions 8 to 63 of the family's 71-position model. Rfam says of the family: Transfer RNA (tRNA) molecules are approximately 80 nucleotides in length. Their secondary structure includes four short double-helical elements and three loops (D, anti-codon, and T loops). The record is from Rfam by way of RNAcentral. Lineage: Eukaryota; Metazoa; Chordata; Aves; Trogoniformes; Trogonidae.
UAGCUCAGUCAGUUGAGCGUGGCGCUAACAACGCUAAGGUUGCGGGUUCGAUUCCUGU